This 1604-nucleotide long non-coding RNA is filed under the name Olea europaea (common olive). Its description in RNAcentral is "long non-coding RNA (OEUR_LNC006859)". The record is from RNAcentral. Lineage: Eukaryota; Viridiplantae; Streptophyta; Magnoliopsida; Lamiales; Oleaceae.
GACCGAGUAGCUUCUCCUCCGGCUCAUUGUCAUCGACGAUUACCUGGACAUUAUACGCCGACCGGAAGAAGAGGGUGUUGGCGUACGCGAGGGAGGGGCACACGACGGACAUGACAUCGGAAGAGCAGGAGGAUGAUAAGGACAAUAGGUUUUGCUGGAGUUCAGUUGAGGAGUAGACUAGUGGAGCCCACCGAUCUUUGGUGGCGGCGGUGGCGGAGGAAGAGCGGGAGAGGUGGGACGGCGGAGCAGAGCGUUGUUUUGAGGGCGUGAAGAAAGAGAAGAGGUUGGGUGUGGAUGAGGCGGCCAUUAAUUUUGUGGUUGUGUUCAUAUUCCACUACUCUUUUGUUUCAUACCGUACUUUGGAUAGGGAAUUAUUUUGGGCUCACUAUGUAUCCCUCGAAUUUCUUUCCUUUACCUUUUAAUCCACUACGAAGAUGGUCUAGUUAUGGAUUUGCUGACUCUUGGCAAUGGCAGUACUACUUUGACGUCUAGAUCUUUAUGAGAAAAACCUCUCACUCACUUUCUCCAUUGUAAAUGCAAUUCCGGAGGUAAGAUGGCCAUGUCACCAUCCAAAUUUUUUGUCCGACACUAAACUUUAUGCUAACAAACCAACUAUCCAUCAGGAAAAAUUGCAAUGUAAUUUGAAAAGAGUGAAAGGAAAAGGGUGUCUUCUCCUUUCAGAGGGGAUUUUCAUUGUCUACAACAAAAGGGUAAAUAACUCCAAAACUCGACUAAACAAUAAUAUAGUGCUUAUAGACAAUGGGCCCGUAUGGAUCAAAAGAAAACUUAAGCAGCCUGUAUGCACUAAAACGAAAGCAAACAGCACAAUAUAAGAACAAAUUGACUAAUAAUUAUAGCAAUUCCAAGACUUCAAAAACUUGUCAACUCAAAAACGAGACAAGAAACCACAAAGCAGUUCAAAAUUCACUAAUCGCCCAACUACACACAUUCAUAGACCAAUAUACAGAACAAAUUGAAUAGAAUUCAGCCAACUGAACUGAGAAUGAAAGAGAAAAUAAGAAAUGGAACCUGCGACGAUUGCGCUUGGCAGCCUCGCGAGAUUUGCGCUUCUUCUCUUCCUGCUUGUUCUCGAAGAAGCGGCGGCGCUUGCAUUCCUGAAUGACGCCGGCCCUCAUAACCUCCCGUCGGAACCGACCGAGUAGCUUCUCCUCCGGCUCAUUGUCAUCGACGAUUACCUGGACAUUAUACGCCGACCGGAAGAAGAGGGUGUUGGCGUACGCGAGGGAGGGGCACACGACGGACAUGACAUCGGAAGAGCAGGAGGAUGAUAAGGACAAUAGGUUUUGCUGGAGUUCAGUUGAGGAGUAGACUAGUGGAGCCCACCGAUCUUUGGUGGCGGCGGUGGCGGAGGAAGAGCGGGAGAGGUGGGACGGCGGAGCAGAGCGUUGUUUUGAGGGCGUGAAGAAAGAGAAGAGGUUGGGUGUGGAUGAGGCGGCCAUUAAUUUUGUGGUUGUGUUCAUAUUCCACUACUCUUUUGUUUCAUACCGUACUUUGGAUAGGGAAUUAUUUUGGGCUCAAUAAAGUAGUUUGAUUAGUUGGGCUGACUCAUAUUGGGCCUACAUUACCCAACGAUUGGAAAAGUU